RNAcentral lists this transfer RNA (90 nucleotides) under Streptomyces avidinii. Its description in RNAcentral is "tRNA-Ala(cgc)". The record is from RNAcentral. Lineage: Bacteria; Bacillati; Actinomycetota; Actinomycetes; Kitasatosporales; Streptomycetaceae.
GCAGGGCGACCUGUACGGGCGGAUCGCGGUCUCGCUGACCGCACUCGCCUUCCUCGUGGAGGCGGGCGGGGUCGUGGCCCGCGCCCUGUC